RNAcentral lists this ribosomal RNA (256 nucleotides) under uncultured Pseudomonas sp. RNAcentral's name for it is "partial 16S ribosomal RNA". It matches the Rfam family "Bacterial small subunit ribosomal RNA", at positions 96 to 355 of the family's 1533-position model. The record is from RNAcentral. Lineage: Bacteria; Pseudomonadati; Pseudomonadota; Gammaproteobacteria; Pseudomonadales; Pseudomonadaceae.
CGGCGGACGGGUGAGUAAUGCCUAGGAAUCUGCCUGGUAGUGGGGGACAACGUUUCGAAAGGAACGCUAAUACCGCAUACGUCCUACGGGAGAAAGCAGGGACCUUCGGGCCUUGCGCUAUCAGAUGAGCCUAGGUCGGAUUAGCUAGUUGGUGAGGUAAUGGCUCACCAAGGCGACGAUCCGUAACUGGUCUGAAAGGAUGAUCAGUCACACUGGAACUGAGACACGGUCCAGACUCCUACGGGAGGCAGCAGUU